This 253-nucleotide ribosomal RNA is filed under the name uncultured bacterium. Its description in RNAcentral is "partial 16S ribosomal RNA". It matches the Rfam family "Bacterial small subunit ribosomal RNA", at positions 524 to 776 of the family's 1533-position model. The record is from RNAcentral.
UACGUAGGCAGCGAGCGUUGUUCGGAGUUACUGGGCGUAAAGGGUGUGUAGGCGGUUUUUUAAGGUUGGUGUGAAAUCUCCCGGCUCAACCGGGAGGGUGCGCCGAAUACUGAGGGACUAGAGUGCGGGAGAGGAAAGUGGAAUUCCUGGUGUAGCGGUGAAAUGCGUAGAUAUCAGGAGGAACACCGGUGGUGUAGACGGCUUUCUGGACCGUAACUGACGCUGAGACACGAAAGCGUGGGUAGCAAACAGG